Molecule: long non-coding RNA, 499 nt
Organism: Quercus lobata
Lineage: Eukaryota; Viridiplantae; Streptophyta; Magnoliopsida; Fagales; Fagaceae
Exons: 4
Source: RefSeq, a predicted model, not a curated record
CAUCUGAGUCCUCGACUCUCUCGCGUUUCUCUCAAACCGCUUCUCUUCUCUCACUUGGGUGAUCUCCAUCUCUGUCUCGUGGCUUUACUCACCAGUGAAGGUUUCUCAAAAAGAUCAAAAUCACUUUGAUAAAGUGGAACUAGAAGGUGGCAGAACAAUUGAUGAUUAUGCAUGAAGAAUACUUGCAUAGAAAUCGAUAGGUCUCAGCUGUAUUACCAGCGCCCAAGUUUGAGCUCCUUCAACCUUAGACUCUUGGUUCCUUUGCUUUCAGAUAAGGGAUAAGUGAUAUGAGCAUUUGUUUUAUUCUGGAGCAGAGGAAGCCUUAGUCGAGUUUUGGGAGGAAUUGGUUUUAAUUUUAAAAGUAUAGUCCCUGUUUUGGAAGUUUGAUGCUUAACUUUAUAGUAUUGUGUAUUUUAGGAUCUAAUGAAAGUUGUGUACUUUAAUAUAUUAAGAGAUGUAUUAUGUGAAAUUCCAAAAUUGAAUAACUGGUGGAUUAAGU